This 88-nucleotide ribosomal RNA is filed under the name Salvator merianae (Argentine black and white tegu). The record is from RNAcentral. Lineage: Eukaryota; Metazoa; Chordata; Lepidosauria; Squamata; Teiidae.
GUUAAAAGCUCUCUGUUAUGUCAGCCCGGAUGCAGCUAUAGUUAGUACUUGGAUGGGAGACCACCAGGAAAUCACAGGGCUUUAGGCU